GUAUGGGCAAAUUCUGCCAGUAGUAAAUAUAGUCAGACACCAUCCAAAAUAAUCCUUUCAUUCCCCCUUUCCUAAGGUGAGUGCUGUCCUGUACGUACUCGCCUGCGAAUUGAAUACAAUG
This 121-nucleotide small nucleolar RNA is filed under the name Hucho hucho (huchen). Its description in RNAcentral is "Small nucleolar RNA SNORA15 (ENSHHUG00000051762.1)". The record is from RNAcentral. Lineage: Eukaryota; Metazoa; Chordata; Actinopteri; Salmoniformes; Salmonidae.